GAGAACCUGCGAGAAGGAUCAUU
Molecule: ribosomal RNA, 23 nt
Filed under: Bryum ruderale
Lineage: Eukaryota; Viridiplantae; Streptophyta; Bryopsida; Bryales; Bryaceae
Description: Gemmabryum ruderale partial 18S ribosomal RNA
Source: RNAcentral